Molecule: ribosomal RNA, 1372 nt
Filed under: uncultured bacterium
Lineage: Bacteria
Description: bacterial SSU rRNA
Rfam family: Bacterial small subunit ribosomal RNA
Source: RNAcentral
GAUGAACGCUGGCGGCGUGCCUAAUACAUGCAAGUCGAGCGAACGGACGAGAAGCUUGCUUCUCUGAUGUUAGCGGCGGACGGGUGAGUAACACGUGGAUAACCUACCUAUAAGACUGGGAUAACUUCGGGAAACCGGAGCUAAUACCGGAUAAUAUUUUGAACCGCAUGGUUCAAAAGUGAAAGACGGUCUUGCUGUCACUUAUAGAUGGAUCCGCGCAGCAUUAGCUAGUUGGUAAGGUAACGGCUUACCAAGGCAACGAUGCAUAGCCGACCUGAGAGGGUGAUCGGCCACACUGGAACUGAGACACGGUCCAGACUCCUACGGGAGGCAGCAGUAGGGAAUCUUCCGCAAUGGGCGAAAGCCUGACGGAGCAACGCCGCGUGAGUGAUGAAGGUCUUCGGAUCGUAAAACUCUGUUAUUAGGGAAGAACAUAUGUGUAAGUAACUGUGCACAUCUUGACGGUACCUAAUCAGAAAGCCACGGCUAACUACGUGCCAGCAGCCGCGGUAAUACGUAGGUGGCAAGCGUUAUCCGGAAUUAUUGGGCGUAAAGCGCGCGUAGGCGGUUUUUUAAGUCUGAUGUGAAAGCCCACGGCUCAACCGUGGAGGGUCAUUGGAAACUGGAAAACUUGAGUGCAGAAGAGGAAAGUGGAAUUCCAUGUGUAGCGGUGAAAUGCGCAGAGAUAUGGAGGAACACCAGUGGCGAAGGCGACUUUCUGGUCUGUAACUGACGCUGAUGUGCGAAAGCGUGGGGAUCAAACAGGAUUAGAUACCCUGGUAGUCCACGCCGUAAACGAUGAGUGCUAAGUGUUAGGGGGUUUCCGCCCCUUAGUGCUGCAGCUAACGCAUUAAGCACUCCGCCUGGGGAGUACGACCGCAAGGUUGAAACUCAAAGGAAUUGACGGGGACCCGCACAAGCGGUGGAGCAUGUGGUUUAAUUCGAAGCAACGCGAAGAACCUUACCAAAUCUUGACAUCCUUUGACAACUCUAGAGAUAGAGCUUUCCCCUUCGGGGGACAAAGUGACAGGUGGUGCAUGGUUGUCGUCAGCUCGUGUCGUGAGAUGUUGGGUUAAGUCCCGCAACGAGCGCAACCCUUAAGCUUAGUUGCCAUCAUUAAGUUGGGCACUCUAAGUUGACUGCCGGUGACAAACCGGAGGAAGGUGGGGAUGACGUCAAAUCAUCAUGCCCCUUAUGAUUUGGGCUACACACGUGCUACAAUGGACAAUACAAAGGGCAGCGAAACCGCGAGGUCAAGCAAAUCCCAUAAAGUUGUUCUCAGUUCGGAUUGUAGUCUGCAACUCGACUACAUGAAGCUGGAAUCGCUAGUAAUCGUAGAUCAGCAUGCUACGGUGAAUACGUUCCCGGGUCU